Molecule: ribosomal RNA, 292 nt
Filed under: uncultured bacterium
Lineage: Bacteria
Description: partial 16S ribosomal RNA
Rfam family: Bacterial small subunit ribosomal RNA
Source: RNAcentral
GUGUCAGCCGCCGCGGUAAGACGAACCGUCCAAACGUUAUUCGGAAUGACUGGGCUUAAAGGGUACGUAGGCGGCUUAGAAAGUUGGGUGUGAAAUCCCUCGGCUCAACCGAGGAACUGCAUUCAAAACUACUAGGCUUGAGGGAGAUAGAGAUGAGCGGAACUCAGGGUGGAGCGGUGGAAUGCGUUGAUAUCCUGGGGAACACCAGUUGCGAAGGCGGCUCAUUGGGUCUCUUCUGACGCUGAGGUACGAAAGCUAGGGGAGCGAACGGGAUUAGAAACCCCCGUAGUCC